This 343-nucleotide unclassified non-coding RNA is filed under the name Nocardia carnea. RNAcentral describes it as "16S-23S ribosomal RNA intergenic spacer". Lineage: Bacteria; Bacillati; Actinomycetota; Actinomycetes; Mycobacteriales; Nocardiaceae. The record is from RNAcentral.
CUAAGGAGCAUUCUCCACGCCGGCCCACAGUGGUGGGUGCGGGUUGUGGCAGAGCCACUUCGGAAACGAAUGUUUUCCGGUGGUUGCUCAUGGGUGGAACGCUGACAAUCUCCAUCACGUAUGGCUGACGCUGUAGUUCUCGGUGCUGGUGGAUAUAUCAACACACUGUUGAGUCCUGAAAGAACAGGCGUUCUUUCCAGGCAAUAAACAUGAUCUGCUCGGAUUUUCUGAGAUACUGCCGGCUCUGUCGGUGAGUCCAGGAGUUCGGUUCGAGUGGGUGUGUUGUUUGAGAACUGCACAGUGGACGCGAGCAUCUUUGUUUUGUAAGUGUUUUAGAGCGUUC